Molecule: long non-coding RNA, 187 nt
Organism: Schistocerca serialis cubense
Lineage: Eukaryota; Metazoa; Arthropoda; Insecta; Orthoptera; Acrididae
Exons: 2
Source: RefSeq, a predicted model, not a curated record
CUACUGCACCCAAAAUUUUUCUUAAUCCAACAUCGAGGUCGCAAUCUGCUUUGUCGAUAUGAGCUCUCAAAAACAAUUACGCUGUUAUCCCUAAGGUAACUUAAUCAUAUGAUCAUAAAUUAUGGAUCAAAACAACAAACAUAAAUAAAUGAUAUAAUAAUGAAGAGUUUAUUUAUUCUUCAUGUCA